This is a signal recognition particle RNA of 97 nucleotides. It matches the Rfam family "Bacterial small signal recognition particle RNA". From Rfam's summary of the family: The signal recognition particle (SRP) is a universally conserved ribonucleoprotein involved in the co-translational targeting of proteins to membranes. Archaeal SRP consists of a 7S RNA and homologues of the eukaryotic SRP19 and SRP54 proteins. In most bacteria, the SRP consists of a 4.5S RNA and the Ffh protein (a homologue of the eukaryotic SRP54 protein).
AGUUUGUUAUUUUCUAAUACUAAAUUCUAAAUCAUGCCAGAACUGAAAAGGAGCAGCAUUAAAGAAAUUUUAGUAUAGUAGAUAAUAACAAGCUCUU